GCAAUUUGACCACAUAACAUAUAAUAUUUGUCUCUACAAACAAAACAAUAAAAGCAAAUAGAGAGAGAGAGAGAGAUUAGGUAGGUCAAUUGGGGUACCUCGGUACAACUGAGGCGUGACUAAUUGGUUACAUCAGCAGCAGACAUUAGGUAGGUCAAUUGGUCACGCUUAGGUUACGGAAGCAUCUUUUCUUUUUCUUUUUCUUUUUCUAACUGGCCUUACUUAAAUAAAAAAUAAGUAGUGCCGCUUGACACACCUACGACACCAAUAAUUUUUUUUUCAUUUUUUCUCUCACUGUGUAUACUUGUAUCUUCACAAGUAUUUUUAGAAAUACAAACCAGUGUUACUUGACACAAUGGAGGCAUUAAUAAAUAAAUGUUGUCUAAAAUUGUCAU
RNAcentral lists this long non-coding RNA (395 nucleotides) under Gossypium raimondii (Peruvian cotton). Its description in RNAcentral is "long non-coding RNA (GRAI_LNC010131)". The record is from RNAcentral. Lineage: Eukaryota; Viridiplantae; Streptophyta; Magnoliopsida; Malvales; Malvaceae.